This 235-nucleotide ribosomal RNA is filed under the name uncultured bacterium. RNAcentral's name for it is "partial 16S ribosomal RNA". It matches the Rfam family "Bacterial small subunit ribosomal RNA", at positions 57 to 305 of the family's 1533-position model. The record is from RNAcentral.
GCAAGUCGAACGAGAAAGCUUCCUUCGGGAAGUGAGUACAGUGGCGAACGGGUGAGUAACACGUGGGUUACCUGCCCUCGAGUGGGGAAUAACCCUGGGAAACCGGGGCUAUUACCGCAUACGGUCUACGGACUAAAGCUUUAUGCGCUCGAGGAGGGGCCCGCGGUCGAUUAGCUAGUUGGUGAGGUAAUGGCUCACCAAGGCAUCGAUCGAUAGCCGGCCUGAGAGGACAAAC